AGUCUGAUGGAGCACGCCGCGUGAGUGAAGAAGGGUUUCGGCUCGUAAAACUCUGUUGUUAAAGAAGAACAUAUCUGAGAGUAACUGUUCAGGUAUUGACGGUAUUUAACCAGAAAGCCACGGCUAACUACGUGCCAGCAGCCGCGGUAAUACGUAGGUGGCAAGCGUUGUCCGGAUUUAUUGGGCGUAAAGCGAGCGCAGGCGGUUUUUUAAGUCUGAUGUGAAAGCCUUCGGCUCAACCGAAGAAGUGCAUCGGAAACUGGGAAACUUGAGUGCAGAAGAGGACAGUGGAACUCCAUGUGUAGCGGUGAAAUGCGUAGAUAUAUGGAAGAACACCAGUGGCGAAGGCGGCUGUCUGGUCUGUAACUGACGCUGAGGCUCGAAAGUAUGGGUAGCAAACAGGAUUAGAUACCCUGGUAGUCCAUACCGUAAACGAUGAAUGCUAAGUGUUGGAGGGUUUCCGCCCUUCAGUGCUGCAGCUAACGCAUUAAGCAUUCCGCCUGGGGAGUACGGCCGCAAGGCUGAAACUCAAAGGAAUUGACGGGGGCCCGCACAAGCGGUGGAGCAUGUGGUUUAAUUCGAAGCUACGCGAAGAACCUUACCAGGUCUUGACAUACUAUGCAAAUCUAAGAGAUUAGACGUUCCCUUCGGGGACAUGGAUACAGGUGGUGCAUGGUUGUCGUCAGCUCGUGUCGUGAGAUGUUGGGUUAAGUCCCGCAACGAGCGCAACCCUUAUUAUCAGUUGCCAGCAUUAAGUUGGGCACUCUGGUGAGACUGCCGGUGACAAACCGGAGGAAGGUGGGGAUGACGUCAAAUCAUCAUGCCCCUUAUGACCUGGGCUACACACGUGCUACAAUGGAUGGUACAACGAGUUGCGAACUCGCGAGAGUAAGCUAAUCUCUUAAAGCCAUUCUCAGUUCGGAUUGUAGGCUG
This 933-nucleotide ribosomal RNA is filed under the name Lactiplantibacillus plantarum. RNAcentral describes it as "bacterial SSU rRNA". It matches the Rfam family "Bacterial small subunit ribosomal RNA", at positions 380 to 1307 of the family's 1533-position model. Lineage: Bacteria; Bacillati; Bacillota; Bacilli; Lactobacillales; Lactobacillaceae. The record is from RNAcentral.